This 857-nucleotide ribosomal RNA is filed under the name Salmonella enterica. Its description in RNAcentral is "bacterial LSU rRNA". It matches the Rfam family "Bacterial large subunit ribosomal RNA", at positions 454 to 1211 of the family's 2925-position model. RNAcentral also lists the same sequence under 1 other name. Lineage: Bacteria; Pseudomonadati; Pseudomonadota; Gammaproteobacteria; Enterobacterales; Enterobacteriaceae. The record is from RNAcentral.
CAUCCUCCAAGGCUAAAUACUCCUGACUGACCGAUAGUGAACCAGUACCGUGAGGGAAAGGCGAAAAGAACCCCGGCGAGGGGAGUGAAAAAGAACCUGAAACCGUGUACGUACAAGCAGUGGGAGCCCCACCACUAAGCCAGUGGUGAACUCCACAUACGCAUCCUUUGCUGAGGAUACGGUUAACGGAGCGAAAGCGACGUUCAACCUCAAAAGAAGCAGAGGGGGCUUAGUGGUGGGGUGACUGCGUACCUUUUGUAUAAUGGGUCAGCGACUUAUAUUCUGUAGCAAGGUUAACCGUAUAGGGGAGCCGGAGGGAAACCGAGUCUUAAUUGGGCGUUAAGUUGCAGGGUAUAGACCCGAAACCCGGUGAUCUAGCCAUGGGCAGGUUGAAGGUUGGGUAACACUAACUGGAGGACCGAACCGACUAAUGUUGAAAAAUUAGCGGAUGACCUGUGGCUGGGGGUGAAAGGCCAAUCAAACCGGGAGAUAGCUGGUUCUCCCCGAAAGCUAUUUAGGUAGCGCCUCGUGAAUUCAUCUCCGGGGGUAGAGCACUGUUUCGGCUAGGGGGCCAUCCCGGCUUACCAACCCGAUGCAAACUGCGAAUACCGGAGAAUGUUAUCACGGGAGACACACGGCGGGUGCUAACGUCCGUCGUGAAGAGGGAAACAACCCAGACCGCCAGCUAAGGUCCCAAAGUCAUGGUUAAGUGGGAAACGAUGUGGGAAGGCCCAGACAGCCAGGAUGUUGGCUUAGAAGCAGCCAUCAUUUAAAGAAAGCGUAAUAGCUCACUGGUCGAGUCGGCCUGCGCGGAAGAUGUAACGGGGCUAAACCAUGCACCGAAGCUGCGGCAGCGA